AGCGGAGUGGUAGCAGUUGGUAGCUCACUUGGUUCAUACCCAAGAGGUCGAAGGUUCGAGCCCUUCCUCCGCAA
RNAcentral lists this transfer RNA (74 nucleotides) under Caudoviricetes sp. Its description in RNAcentral is "tRNA-Met". It matches the Rfam family "tRNA". From Rfam's summary of the family: Transfer RNA (tRNA) molecules are approximately 80 nucleotides in length. Their secondary structure includes four short double-helical elements and three loops (D, anti-codon, and T loops). Lineage: Duplodnaviria; Heunggongvirae; Uroviricota; Caudoviricetes. The record is from RNAcentral.